GUGAGUAACACGUGAGCAACCUGCCCCUGACUCUGGGAUAAGCGGUGGAAACGCCGUCUAAUACCGGAUAUGACCUGCCACCUCAUGGUGGCGGGUGGAAAGUUUUGUCGGUCAGGGAUGGGCUCGCGGCCUAUCAGCUUGUUGGUGGGGUAACGGCCUACCAAGGCGAUUACGGGUAGCCGGCCUGAGAGGGCGACCGGCCACACUGGGACUGAGACACGGCCCAGACUCCUGCGGGAGGCAGCAGUGGGGAAUAUUGCACAAUGGGCGAAAGCCUGAUGCAGCGACGCCGCGUGGGGGAUGACGGCCUUCGGGUUGUAAACCUCUUUUACCACCAACGCAGGCUCCGGGUUUUCUCGGGGUUGACGGUAGGUGGGGAAUAAGGACCGGCUAACUACGUGCCAGCAGCCGCGGUAAUACGUAGGGUCCGAGCGUUGUCCGGAAUUAUUGGGCGUAAAGAGCUCGUAGGCGGCAUGUCGCGUCUGCUGUGAAAGACCGGGGCUUAACUCCGGUUCUGCAGUGGAUACGGGCAUGCUAGAGGUAGGUAGGGGAAACUGGAAUUCCUGGUGUAGCGGUGAAAUGCGCAGAUAUCAGGAGGAACACCGGUGGCGAAGGCGGGUUUCUGGGCCUUACCUGACGCUGAGGAGCGAAAGCAUG
RNAcentral lists this ribosomal RNA (657 nucleotides) under Nocardiopsis sp. Its description in RNAcentral is "bacterial SSU rRNA". It matches the Rfam family "Bacterial small subunit ribosomal RNA", at positions 106 to 763 of the family's 1533-position model. The record is from RNAcentral. Lineage: Bacteria; Bacillati; Actinomycetota; Actinomycetes; Streptosporangiales; Nocardiopsidaceae.